CGGUAGCCGCGGGAAUACGAAGGGUGCAAGCGUUACUCGGAAUUACUGGGCGUAAAGCGUGCGUAGGUGGUGGUUUAAGUCCGUUGUGAAAGCCCUGGGCUCAACCUGGGAAUUGCAGUGGAUACUGGGUCACUAGAGUGUGGUAGAGGAUAGUGGAAUUUCCGGUGUAGCAGUGAAAUGCGUAGAGAUCGGAAGGAACAUCUGUGGCGAAGGCGACUAUCUGGGCCAACACUGACACUGAGGCACGAAAGCGUGGGGAGCAAACAGGAUUAGAUACCCCAGUAGUCCCUGUCUCUUAUAC
Molecule: ribosomal RNA, 301 nt
Filed under: uncultured bacterium
Lineage: Bacteria
Description: partial 16S ribosomal RNA
Rfam family: Bacterial small subunit ribosomal RNA
Source: RNAcentral